UACGUAGGGGGCGAGCGUUGUCCGGAAUGAUUGGGCGUAAAGGGCGCGUAGGCGGCUGAUCAAGUCAGCAGUGGAAGUCCAGCUUUCAAGGUUGGAAGUGCUAUUGAAACUGAUUAGCUUGAGUGCAGGAGAGGUUAUCGGAAUUCCCGGUGUAGCGGUGAAAUGCGUAGAGAUCGGGAGGAACACCAGUGGCGAAGGCGGGUAACUGGACUGCAACUGACGCUGAGGCGCGAAAGUGUGGGGAGCAAACAGG
This 253-nucleotide ribosomal RNA is filed under the name uncultured bacterium. RNAcentral's name for it is "partial 16S ribosomal RNA". It matches the Rfam family "Bacterial small subunit ribosomal RNA", at positions 524 to 776 of the family's 1533-position model. The record is from RNAcentral.